UACGUAGGGGGCAAGCGUUGUCCGGAAUCAUUGGGCGUAAAGAGCGUGUAGGCGGCCCGAUAAGUCCGCCGUGAAAGUCCACGGCUCAACCCUGGAAUGCCGGUGGAAACUGUCGGGCUGGAGUCCGGAAGAGGCGAGUGGAAUUCCUGGUGUAGCGGUGAAAUGCGUAGAUAUCAGGAGGAACACCAAUGGCGAAGGCAGCUCGCUGGGACGGUACUGACGCUGAGACGCGAAAGCGUGGGGAGCAAACAGG
Molecule: ribosomal RNA, 253 nt
Filed under: uncultured bacterium
Lineage: Bacteria
Description: partial 16S ribosomal RNA
Rfam family: Bacterial small subunit ribosomal RNA
Source: RNAcentral